RNAcentral lists this ribosomal RNA (497 nucleotides) under uncultured bacterium. RNAcentral's name for it is "partial 16S ribosomal RNA". It matches the Rfam family "Bacterial small subunit ribosomal RNA", at positions 28 to 507 of the family's 1533-position model. The record is from RNAcentral.
GAUGAACGCUGGCGGCGUGCCUAAUACAUGCAAGUCGAGCGAACGGACGAGAAGCUUGCUUCUCUGAUGUUAGCGGCGGACGGGUGAGUAACACGUGGAUAACCUACCUAUAAGACUGGGAUAACUUCGGGAAACCGGAGCUAAUACCGGAUAAUACUUUGAACCGCAUGGUUCAAAAGUGAAAGACGGUCUUGCUGUCACUUAUAGAUGGAUCCGCGCUGCAUUAGCUAGUUGGUAAGGUAACGGCUUACCAAGGCAACGAUGCAUAGCCGACCUGAGAGGGUGAUCGGCCACACUGGAACUGAGACACGGUCCAGACUCCUACGGGAGGCAGCAGUAGGGAAUCUUCCGCAAUGGGCGAAAGCCUGACGGAGCAACGCCGCGUGAGUGAUGGAGGUCUUCGGAUCGUAAAACUCUGUUAUUAGGGAAGAACAUAUGUGUAAGUAACUGUGCACAUCUUGACGGUACCUAAUCAGAAAGCCACGGCUAACUACGUG